Molecule: ribosomal RNA, 253 nt
Filed under: uncultured bacterium
Lineage: Bacteria
Description: partial 16S ribosomal RNA
Rfam family: Bacterial small subunit ribosomal RNA
Source: RNAcentral
UACGUAGGUGGCAAGCGUUGUCCGGAUUUAUUGGGUUUAAAGGGUGCGUAGGCGGCCAAUUAAGUCAGUGCUGAAAUGCUCUAGCUUAACUAGAGGGGUGGCAUUGAUACUGAUUGGCUUGAGUGAAGUCGAGGUAGGCGGAAUUGACGGUGUAGCGGUGAAAUGCUUAGAUAUCGUCAAGAACACCGAUAGUGAAGACAGCUUACUAGACUUCAACUGACGCUGAGGCAUGAAAGUGUGGGGAUCAAACAGG